AGAAGUCGUAACAAGGUUUCUGUAGGUGAACCUGCGGAAGGAUCAUUGUUGAGGCCCGAGCGGACAAUUGCGAACCUGUCAACGCUCCCGCAGGGCCAGAGGGACGGCGUCAUUCGCCUGCCUGACCUCGCCACCCCGGGCACCCAUGGCCGCCCCUGUCCUGCCUCAUUGCGGGAUGGGCAGCAGGAAAAAUACCCGGCGUGGUGGUCGCCAAGGAACAUUCACAGUCGGAAAGCACCGCAAGCCGGUUCCAUCGUGCGUUGCAAUCCUUCCAUACAAGUCGAACUUUUAUGACUCUUGGCAAUGGAUAUCUUGGCUCUCGCAUCGAUGAUGAAUGUAGCGAAAUGCGAUACUUGGUGUGAAUUGCAUAAUCUCGUUAACCAUCGAGUCUUUGAACGCAAGUUGCGCCGAAGGCUAUCCGGCCGAGGGCAUGCCUACGUGGGCAUCAUGCCUCAUGUCGCUCCACACACCAUGAGGCACCUUUUCGAGUAGGGGCUGAGGUGGGCGUAGAUGCGGAGAUUGGCCCCCCCAUGCCUUGCAACGCGAUGGGUCGAAGUGCAGGCCGCCAGCCGAGAAAGGAUGCGGCGAGUGAUGGACGGACACGUAUGGCGCCGGACUGUGCCUCCGCCCCUGGCAGCAAUAGUGCAUGCAAGGAACCCACACCGUCAGGUGCGCUCGUACGUGCCCCUUGGAACCCGACCCCAGGUCAGGCAGGGCCACCCGCUGAGCUUAAGCAUAUAAAUAAGCGGAGGA
This 753-nucleotide ribosomal RNA is filed under the name Dracaena sp. yanzong. RNAcentral's name for it is "eukaryotic LSU rRNA". The stretch from base 293 to 448 matches the Rfam family "5.8S ribosomal RNA". Lineage: Eukaryota; Viridiplantae; Streptophyta; Magnoliopsida; Asparagales; Asparagaceae. The record is from RNAcentral.